AUGUUUAUGAAUGAAAGAAGGGAAAUAGAUGAAGUAUUCUUUAAGCGGGGACCCAUUUGGAAACACAACUUGCAUGUUGAAAUCCUAGGGGACCCUCCUCCACCUAAGGGAGAUCCCAUGUUUGAGCUUAAACAAUUACCUGAUACUUUGAAAUAUGCUUAUCUUGAUGAAAAGAAGAUAUAUCCUAUUAUUAUUAGUGCUAACGUUCCAGAGCAUGAAGAAGAGAAAUUAUUGAAAACUCUGAAGAAGCACCGUGCUGCUAUUGGAUAUACUCUUGACGAUCUUAAGGGCAUUAGUCCCACUCUAUGCCCGCACAAAAUAAAAUUGGAGAAAGACACUAAACCAGUUAUUGAUCACCAACGAUGGUUAAAUCCUAAGAUGAAAGAAGUGGUAAGAAAUGAAAUACUAAAGCUUCUGGAGGCAGGUAUAAUUUAUCCUGUUGCUGAUAGUCAGUGGGUAAGUCUUGUUCAUUGUGUCCCUAAGAAGGGAGGUAUUACUGUUGUUCCUAAUGAUAAGGAUGAAUUGAUCCCACAAAGAAUUGUUACACGUUAUAGAAUGGUAAUUGAUUUCUGCAAAUUAAAUAAAGCUACUAGGAAGGAUCAUUACCCUCUACCUUUUAUUGAUCAAAUUCUAGAAAGAUUAUCCAAACAUACACAUUUCUGCUUUCUAGAUGGUUAUUCUGGUUUCUCUCAAAUACGUAUGUCAAAAGAGGAUCAGGAAAAGACCACUUUUACUUGCCCUUUCGGUACCUUUGCUUAUAGACAUAUGCCUUUUGGUUUAUGUAAUGCACCUGCUACCUUUCAAAGAUGUAUGACUGCUAUAUUCUCUGACUUUUGUGAAAAGAUUGUUGAGGUUUUCAUUGAUGAUUUCUCCGUUUAUGGAACUUCUUUUGAUGAUUGCUUAAGCAACCUUGAUCAAGUUUUGCAGAGAUGUGAAGAAACUAAUCUUGUCUUGAAUUGGGAGAAGUACCACUUUAUGGUUAAUGAAGGCAUUGUCUUGGGGCAUAAAAUUUCUGAAAGAGGUAUUGAAGUUGAUAAAGCUAAAGUAGAUGCUAUUGAAAAGAUGUCGUGUCCUAAGGACAUCAAAGGUAUAAGAAGUUUCCUUGGUCAUACUAGUUUUUAUAGGAGGUUUAUUAAAGACUUCUCUAAAAUUUCUAGGCCUCUAACUAAUCUCUUGCAAAAAGAUAUUCCCUUUGUUUUCAAUGAUGAUUGUGUAGAAGCGUUUGAAAUACUUAAGAAAGCCUUGAUUUUCGCACCUAUUGAUCAACCACCUGAUUGGAAUUUACCCUUUGAAAUUAUGUGUGAUGCUAGUGAUUAUGCUGUAGGUGUUGUUCUAGGACAAAAAGUUGAUAAGAAAUUAAAUGUUAUCCAAUAUGCUAGUAAAACUCUAGACAGUGCCCAGACACAUUAUGCUACUACUAAAAAAGAAUUUUUAGCAGUUGUGUUCGCUUGUGAUAAGUUCAGAGCUUAUAUUGUUGAUUCUGAAGUAACUGUUCACACUGAUCAUGCUGCUAUUAAAUAUCUUAUGGAAAAGAAAGAUGCUAAACCUAGACUUAUUAGAUGGGUUCUCUUGCUACAAGAAUUUGACUUGCAUAUUAUUGAUAGAAAGGGAGCUGAGAACCCCGUUGCAGACAACCUGUCUAGGUUAGAAAAUGUUCCGUAUGACCCACUGCCUAUUGAUGAUAGCUUUCCCGAUGAACAAUUAGCUGCCAUAAAUGCUUCUCGUACUGCUCCAUGGUAUGCUCAUUAUGCUAAUUACAUUGUUGCUAAAUUUAUACCACCUAGUUUCACAUACCAACAAAAUAAAAAAGUUUUUCUAUGA
This 1821-nucleotide ribosomal RNA is filed under the name Triticum aestivum (bread wheat). RNAcentral's name for it is "partial small subunit ribosomal RNA". Lineage: Eukaryota; Viridiplantae; Streptophyta; Magnoliopsida; Poales; Poaceae. The record is from RNAcentral.